Molecule: long non-coding RNA, 783 nt
Organism: Micropterus salmoides (largemouth bass)
Lineage: Eukaryota; Metazoa; Chordata; Actinopteri; Centrarchiformes; Centrarchidae
Exons: 4
Source: RefSeq, a predicted model, not a curated record
UAUAGUAUAAUAUGAAUUUUGGUCAGUGUUUCAAAAAAGCGAUCCAUAUGAUUUAUCAUGUAAAUUUAUUUUCGGGACAUACAUUUCCCAAUAAAUGGGAACAAUGUUGUAAAGGUACAACUACUAGGCCGUUCAUCCUCAAAACCUUAAAGGUUAGGUAUAAAGUACAAAACUGCUUGUAAAUACACUAUAUAACAUGGUAUAAAUAGAAGAAGAAAAACACUACAUGGUAAAACAGAAAAAUGGCCAAUUCUAAAUGUUGUUCUGCUGUUUUCUUAAAAUAAGGCCUUCCUUCAAAAUUUAUUUAAAGUUUUUUUCUUUCAAUACCCAGACUGUCCAUAGUAACCAGCAUGUAUUGACUUCCUGUUAAUCCUGACUUGCAGUUAACCUUACUGUGGAAAAAGAGGGACACAGAGGUGGUCGUUGCAUUGGUCCCUUCACAGAUUAAGGGGCGCAACAUCCUUAUCCACCACAGUGAGCUACGCACACUUCGACCACACCAGUGGUUGACAGGGGAGGUUAUUGAGGCCCUGUUUCAUGUUGCUGCCCAUACAUUCAGUGUGGUGGACACCAUCUACUUGAUGAGUCAUUACACUACAGGUGGGAUACUGUUCGGUGACAGAACUGAGCUACCCCGUCACAGUUUACCAAAGGUAAACUUUGAGAACUAUGAAGCUGUUCUGUCAUUUGUGCUUGUCAACAACAACCACUGGAACUUUCUGUACAUUAAUGCUAAAACCAGCACAGUAUUCUUGAUGGAUCCAGCCCCCAUGUCAUCUGAAU